UGUGCUUCCCAACCAACAAACAAACAAACACAAAAAUACAUAAAUAAAAUAAAUAAAAAUAAAUCCAUAAAGGUGUUCAUCUGAUUUUUCUUCUUUCAAUAUGAUUUUUUCUCCUUUUUUAUUUGCUAUUUUUUUUCUUUUCAUGAAUUUAUUACUAUCUCUAUUGUUUACACAGGAAGAAGAAGAAGAAGAAGAAGAAGAAGAAGAAGAAGAAGAAAACACACAGAGAGAGAAGAGGAGGAAGAAGAAGAGGAAGGACUUGUAAUAUGGCAGACAUCAAACCAAUGAAUUGAACAGCUGAAUGGACUCCAUCUCUUGAGGGGCGGCUUCGUAUCCCAGCGUGAUCUCCUGCAAGGCAUCCCAGCACACACCACAUGCUCUGGAGGGGGAGAGAACGUCAAGAUGAAUCGGCCUUGUCUUGGAGGAAAUGUACUCUGUUUUGACUUUGCUCUCAAUAAACAUAGACCCUAAGA
This is a long non-coding RNA of Eriocheir sinensis (Chinese mitten crab), 473 nucleotides long. RefSeq lists it as uncharacterized. Lineage: Eukaryota; Metazoa; Arthropoda; Malacostraca; Decapoda; Varunidae. The record is from RefSeq and is a predicted model, not a curated record. The transcript is spliced from 2 exons.